RNAcentral lists this ribosomal RNA (334 nucleotides) under Thoburnia atripinnis (blackfin sucker). Its description in RNAcentral is "partial 16S ribosomal RNA". It matches the Rfam family "Bacterial large subunit ribosomal RNA", at positions 668 to 1081 of the family's 2925-position model. The record is from RNAcentral. Lineage: Eukaryota; Metazoa; Chordata; Actinopteri; Cypriniformes; Catostomidae.
CAGGACCCUCAAGCAAAGAGACCUUUAGUUUGAUACCCCGAAACCAAGUGAGCUACCCCGAGACAGCCUAUUUAGGGCCAACCCGUCUCUGUGGCAAAAGAGUGGGAAGAGCUCCGGGUAGAGGUGAUAAACCUACCGAACUUGGUGAUAGCUGGUUGCCUAAGAAAUGGAUAUUAGUUCAGCCUCGUCUGCCCCUAAUCAAGCAAGUAAAUCUAAUAAUAGACGAAGGGAAAAGAACGAGAGUUAGUUAAAGGGGGUACAGCCCCUUUAACAAAGGAUACAACCUUAACAGGAGGAUAAGGAUCAUAUUUCACAAAACUAACCGUCUUAGUGG